RNAcentral lists this long non-coding RNA (1508 nucleotides) under Numida meleagris (helmeted guineafowl). Its description in RNAcentral is "lncRNA (ENSNMEG00000002996.1)". Lineage: Eukaryota; Metazoa; Chordata; Aves; Galliformes; Numididae. The record is from RNAcentral.
GUCCUCAAUGAUUUUGCACUGGGGACAUAAUAGAAUGCUUUUAUGUUUUGCCUCAAAACGUGUAAGGACAAUUUCCUCGGGUUCCACUCACGUUGUUUUUAACAAAGUGGCUCACUCUGGCCCAAUAAACAAUGGAAUUCUUCCAAACUGGUGAAAAGCGGAUGGCAGUGGGUCAAAGGCAUCAGAGAUGAAGCCGAUGGUGAAAAUAGGCGGAAGAAGUAGGUGGGCACUCGACCACCCUUGAUACCACUGAGCAUGCCCAAAGGGACAUUAGCGCAUAUCCCUGUGACCUUGAAGAAGAAUGAAUAUGUACAGCAGCGUACUACAGAUUUGAACUUAACUGUUCCAAUGCAGAACCUGAACUCUGAGAGGGCACGCUUGCUUGUCAGGUCACCCGGUGCCUAUCAUGGGGAAUAAAGGAAUGCCGCUUUCUAACACCACACUGGAGUUAGAGAGUUUUCUUCCUGGAUUUCAGAUGACCAUUUUUGGUGCCCAACGUGGGACAGUGCAACUGAGAUCUCGUGGACCGAAGGACUGGAGAGGACCUCCAUUCAGCACACACACACAGAGUGAUUCUUGGGGAGCUCCCCCCGAUCCCGGCUCCAUCGGGACCAGCCGCGAGUUCCCUGCCAUACGGGAAAGUCCUAUCUUCUGUCCACAGGUUUGUGGCGCAGGCAGCACCAACACCUCUGGAAGUCACAGUACUUCCAUUCCAACUCCACGAGUGAAUGUAUCUACAGACCUGGAGCUCUGAAUCACUACAGGAGAAGCGGAAAGGACCAUCUCAAAUCCUACUGACAACGCACACUGCUAUCAAGGUGGCAGGAGCAGAAUCUUGAGUUCAUUACACAAGAACAAAAAGUGCCCAGCUCACAGUGGCAAGCAGAACAGACUGCACUGAAGAAACUGAAAUUUCCACUUAAAUGAAUGCAACUUGUGAACAGGGAAACGAGAAAUCACAUUAUGAGCUGAAUGUAGUUAUUGAGAUAAAGUUACCUUUAGAGUAUAUAGUGAUUGUUUGCCUUAUAUUAACUGCAUUAAUUGUUUGCUUAUAUUAAUUGUUUGGAAAAAAAACCAACAAAACCUCUUUUGCAGUACUUAAGGGAUAUAUAUUCUGUUUGCCUAAGAUGAUAACAAUAAUUUUAGUAAUGCUUAUCAACUGAAUGCAUGGGAUCAAAAUAAGCACAUGAAAUUGAUGGAAAAGGUGUUGGAUAUGCUCAGAAUUGCCAAAAUAGGAGGCAAGUCCAUACCCGUUACGGGGAUUAUCACUACCAAGACAGAGUUGGGAUACAGGAUUUGUUAACAAAUCCAUAGAGUACUUUGCAGAUAAAUAUACAGACUAUUGUAGGGACCCAGCCUAUGAAUGAUACCACUUGUCUGAUGGACGUAGGGACUAGUCAGGUAGGGAGGGCUCCACUAGGAAAAUCCCCGCACUGUAAAUGGACAGUACAAAUGACAAAUACUUUGGAAAAAAAAAAACAGGGAUAACUAUUCCACUCUGCUGGGUG